CUUUACUAUAGCCUGGAAUUGUGUUCGGGCUUUUCUUGCGCAGCCUAGGUGGGAGGCUAUGAGGAUUUCCUUCCGGGGAAGUUGGAGCCAUCAGUGAGAGACCACUCUGGAGAGGCUAGAAUCCUAAUGGUGAUCCUUGAAUCAGGACACUUGACAGUUUCAGGUGGGCAGUUUUUCUGGGGCGGAAGCCUCAUAAAGGGUAACUGAGGCGCGCAAAGGUCCCCUCAGUCUGGACGGAAAUCAGACAACGAGUGUAAAGGCAAAAGGGGGCUUGACUGCAAGACCUACAAGUCGAGCAGGAGCGAAAGCUGGCCUUAGUGAUCCGACGGUACCGUGUGGAAGGGCCGUCGCUCAACGAAUAAAAGUUA
This 368-nucleotide ribosomal RNA is filed under the name uncultured organism. Its description in RNAcentral is "bacterial LSU rRNA". It matches the Rfam family "Bacterial large subunit ribosomal RNA", at positions 2099 to 2465 of the family's 2925-position model. The record is from RNAcentral.